This 728-nucleotide ribosomal RNA is filed under the name uncultured bacterium. RNAcentral describes it as "bacterial SSU rRNA". It matches the Rfam family "Bacterial small subunit ribosomal RNA", at positions 55 to 780 of the family's 1533-position model. The record is from RNAcentral.
AUGCAGUCGAGCGGCAGCACAAGGGAGUUUACUCCUGAGGUGGCGAGCGGCGGACGGGUGAGUAAUGCCUAGGGAUCUGCCCAGUCGAGGGGGAUAACAGUUGGAAACGACUGCUAAUACCGCAUACGCCCUACGGGGGAAAGAGGGGGACUUUCGGGCCUCUCGCGAUUGGAUGAACCUAGGUGGGAUUAGCUAGUUGGUGAGGUAAUGGCUCACCAAGGCGACGAUCCCUAGCUGUUCUGAGAGGAUGAUCAGCCACACUGGGACUGAGACACGGCCCAGACUCCUACGGGAGGCAGCAGUGGGGAAUAUUGCACAAUGGGGGAAACCCUGAUGCAGCCAUGCCGCGUGUGUGAAGAAGGCCUUCGGGUUGUAAAGCACUUUCAGUAGGGAGGAAAGGGUGAGUCUUAAUACGGCUCAUCUGUGACGUUACCUACAGAAGAAGGACCGGCUAACUCCGUGCCAGCAGCCGCGGUAAUACGGAGGGUCCGAGCGUUAAUCGGAAUUACUGGGCGUAAAGCGUGCGCAGGCGGUUUGUUAAGCGAGAUGUGAAAGCCCUGGGCUCAACCUGGGAACUGCAUCUGAUACUGGCAGGCUUGAGUCUCGUAGAGGGGGGUAGAAUUCCAGGUGUAGCGGUGAAAUGCGUAGAGAUCUGGAGGAAUACGGUGGCGAAGGCGGCCCCUGGACAAAGAUGACGCUCGGUGCGAAACGUGGGAGCAACAGGAUAG